Molecule: transfer RNA, 77 nt
Filed under: Candidatus Moraniibacteriota bacterium
Lineage: Bacteria; Candidatus Moraniibacteriota
Description: tRNA-Asp
Rfam family: tRNA
About the family: Transfer RNA (tRNA) molecules are approximately 80 nucleotides in length.
Source: RNAcentral
GGGGGCGUAGCUCAGUUGGUUAGAGCGUCUGCCUGUCACGCAGAAGGCCGCCGGUUCAAGUCCGGUCGUCCCCGCCA